GGGAGGGUGCCGGCGAGGUGGCGAGGGCGGCAGGUGCGGGGGCGUAGCAGCCCUGGCCAAGCCCAGAGACCGGAGGACACCCCCUCCCAGAGCUCUAACACAGGCAACUUCCCACUGCCGGGAACGGAGUUUCUCCGUUGCCCACGGACAUCCAGGAGGCGCUGUGGAGGGCAAGCAGGGUAACCCCCACUCCUAACCCACAUCUAUCCAAGGGGAGCCAGAGGAGCCAGCAGGUCCGGACUCGCUGAGGGGGGCUCCACGCGGGGCCUCCCACGCACAGGAUAACAACUAUUAUCAAAGGUUUGCUAUAAAAGAGGAUGCUCAAUUUUGGUGGAGUUGCAAGAGGACCCAGCCCAUUGUUUCAGCCAGUGAGUUGAGUUCCCUCUACGGCAACUCUCCUUGCUGCCGGUUAGAACAACUCCAGAGUGGGAAUUCAUAACCUGCCCAAGCACUCUGCUCCAUCACUAGGGAGCUAGUGUUGACAAACGACUGAACAGGAAGAACGGAAGCUGUCACUCAGUACCUCCUGUGUGACAGUCCUGGGUGUGUCUUCAAGGCUUCAGAGGAAGUGACAGUUCUGCAGGAAAGCUUCCUGAUAUCCACGGAUGCCACUGGCUCCACACACUCCCACCUGUCCAUCCAAUAUUUCUGUCCAGACAGACUCUUCUCUAUAUGACCUGAUUUGGGUGCCCCUUGUUUUACGGGCCAAUCUAGAUACUGUGCUAAGAGUGAGGGAUUCAGAGAAACUGGAUAAUUGAGUUCAAUGGACAUUUUAUAGACUCUUGACCAACAUAUGCCACCCACUGCACCAAGGUCUGGGAACACAGAGAUGAUGGAGAAACAUCUCUUUUCUCCAGGAGCUCAGCUGGGAGUGAAAUCCCACAAAACAGCAGGUAGACAGCUCUUCCUUGACUCCCUUCAGGAAAUGCAAAACAUGGGCCGACCUGAGCUGGGACUUGGCUGAGAAGCAGAACCAUCCAAUCAACAGUCCCUCCAUGUUCACCCCGCUGGGACCUCUCUGCUCCCUGGCUAAGGCCUCAGGGACCUCCAGGUAGAGUGGGAAAGACCCAGGCUCCUGGGGAGCAGGGCUCCUGGAAAGCUUUCCUACCUUCAUUCCUGGAGCAAGGAUCACCAAAGUUGUUUAAGACAGUGGAGGUGGGGGGAGGGUGCAAAUGGGGCCUGGCUUGGAGCCUCUACCUUUCCUCAUCAUACCAUGGUAUCUGCUGAAGCUGGCCAGAAUCCAGGCCUUAGCCCAGAGGUGUCCAGAGACGGCAUCUUCUGGAAGGCUCUUGGUGAGUCUACAGGGGAAGUGGGUGUGCUGAUGCUGUGGAAUCCAGGACACAGAAGAUCCUUGCAAUGGCUGAAUCCCAGUCAUCGCAGGGGACCAUAAAAUCCUCACAGAGCAGAAGAGGAGAGAGACUCCAGCUGCCUCGCACAUCGGGGCACGUGACCAAUCUGCUCUCUACCCGCCCGGCAGGUAAGAAUGAGAUUGACAUGGCGUGGGUAGACGUGGGUGCUGCUGGGAUCCCUGUCACCUGCCCGCCUGCAUCCCAGGGCCCUGCCUCCUUCCACUUCCCUCCUCCACCUGCCUUCUCUCCAGGUCCCGGCUCUUCUUCCUUGAACCCAUCUGCAGAUGCAAGCCCUGGCCUGGGAGGGACGGCAUCUCCCCGCAGCCCUUCCGCAGCUGCCUCCUUUGGAUCUUUUUGCGGUCUGGGCUUGCUGUUCUCUCGACAGUAGUCAGGAAGCCCUUACCCCAAAAAGUAUCUGCGGGGGGCGUGGUCUACAGGGGGGACCUCCAGGGGUUCCAGGUGAGUCAUACCAAACCCAAGAAUACCAGGUGAAUCCACACAUCCUUGCCAUAUGUUUGUGCUGCUGGGUGACCACGGGUCAAGUCCUAAAGCUGUGCUUCUCAACCUUCCUAAUGCUGUGACCCCUUAGUACAGUUCCUCGUGUUGUGGUGAUCCCCUAACCAUAAAAUUAUUUCAUUGCUACUUCAUAACUAACUUUGCCCGUUAUGAAUUGGAAUGUAAAUAUCUGACAUGCAGGUUAUCUGAUAUGUGACCCCCAAAAGGGUUGUGACCCACAGGUUGAGAAAUGCUGCCCUACGGCUUUCUGCGCCCCAGUCACCUCCUACCUGUAACCCUUGCCUGGUACGCAAUGUUCACUGAGAGUGCCUCCAGUCUAGGCCAGAGAAGGCACUUGGGUGGAUGUUGCUGGCCACCAUGGGCACUCCCGCAGGACUGUCACUCGGUAUGUCCAACCCUCCCUGUGCGUUGAGUAGACAUGAGAUCCAAGACAGGCCUGGCUGUUGGUAUGCAGACCUGUGACUGGGAAAACCACAGUUGAUCGGAUGGAUCCCAGCAGCCAUGCGAUGAGAAGAUGAUGAGCUUCUGCCCAGGAUGAGGUGCCUGGCAUCUGCCCUCCCUUAGCCUGAGUGGCCACUACCUCCUUCCUCCGGUGAGUCACUACAAAUCCUUCAAAUAAAACCCUUGACUGUACAUGUAAACGGAGUGGAUACCUUUACUUACCGCUGAUUCAGAGCCCUCUAGAGGGAGGAGGGGGCAUUGCACACGCUGGAGUAAAGGGGCCGACUUGGGGGAAAUCUGUCACCGUCCUGAGAGGAGGCCACUUGGGUGCGUUGACGAGGGUCCAUAGUCAAGGGCUGAGUUAAAAUCCAGAGGAACUAUCUAAAGGUGAGUGCCGUGCGGAGAUAAAAAGCAGAGGACCGACAUAACAUAGAAAGAUUUAAAAUCACCGGGUCCUCAGUUUCCAGAGGUGGUAAGGACAGGUAAUGACAAUUGUAGGUGGCUUCUGCCAGUUCGACGGAGUUGGGGGUGCCUCUGCAGCUGUGGUGAAGUCACAGCCCGUCAGGGGUGACCACAUGGGUGUCCAUCUCAUUCCCCUCUUUCCCCAUCCCACCAAGGUUGAAAGGCCCCAAGCACAGAGGCGGCCAGGCUCGGUGCCUUUCCUUAUCUUUCUACUCUCUACACCCAGGUGCGGGGUGGGGGGCAGCCCAAGGCGAGGAGUACAGUGUCAAUCUCGUUGUCAACAAAGCCACAGAUCUUGAGAAAUAAAGCCCCCAGAAGGUCCUAUCCCCAUGCGGAAGCCACUGGAGGCAAAUCUAAGGCGGCGUGUGAGCGGGUGUGUGAACCUCGCUGAGUUCAAGGCUGCCAAGUGAGCUUGAGUGGGGCUGGGAGUGCGCUGCGGAGGUUCGGGAAGGAGAGCUGAGCUCACAGGUCAGAAGCGGGGACUAUAGGUGUGGGGGGCAAACGCCCCCACUUGGAGACAGGCAGACAUCAGCAGAGAAAGCACGACGUCGACGGGUCACCUUACAGGGCUGACUCAUCUUGUGACCCCAGGCCCUGAUGCUCCCGGACUUACCAAUUCUGACCCCAAACACAGCAGAAUCGCUAGGCUACCAGCCCCCGCGUGCGAGUGGCAACGGUGUGCAUGGCUCACGGGCGGCAUCGUGCGGUCAUCGUGGGGUAGUUCCCUUUACAGCCUCCAUUGUGAGUUACUCUAGAGGACAGCAGUCUUUCCCAGCGGAUUAGGAAAACAGAGCCGUCCUGUCCGAAAGGGCGCGCAGAGCCUGGGGCAGGGUGGCAGUAGGUGGGAAAGGUUGAUAAUGUGAGGCGUCCUUCAGUGAGCUUGUUUACAGCUCGCUCAUCACCUGGGACGAAUCACCCCUCAAAAUGGGUUUCUGGGUCUACAAUCUGGGCAUUUGACUGCCCCUUGCUCUUUAGGCGAGUAUCUCAAGUCACUGUUCUGCUCCUCCCGGGACCUGUUCCUAUUAGAAGCCAUCUUUCAGAAAAGAUUUCAGCUUCCGAUGUAUAUAGGAAGAACCUGACCUUCUGAGUCGGUCAGAUCUGGAGCCAGAGAUCCCAGGCUUCCUGUACUAGCUGUGUGCUCUCGGGAAAGCCACGAACCCUCCCAGGGCUUGUCUCCUCAUCCACAAAACAAGGUGAUAACCCUUUCCUCACAGGGCCGUGGGUCCCAGCUCUGGGCCUAAUGCAUGUCAUCUCUGAGGUGGGAUCUGCGUGACCAUCUGUGUAUGGAGGUUUGCUGCCCAGGACACAGGGGAGAAGGUGGCCACCUUCUGGGGAGCAGUGGGUGGAGAGACCUGAAGAAGGCAGAGGGCGCUGUUCUGUUGCAGCUCCCGAAGUCCCUGAGUCCUAAGGAGCUGGGAGGGAUAGCCGACUAGCUGGAGAGGCAGAGCCUGGAGGGCUCCCCCCACCUGUGGAACAUCACGUCUGGGCAGAGGACGCAAAUAAGCAGAGCUAAGCAAAGCGGCCAAGAGAAAUCAAGAAGGAAAGGGAAAAUGGAGAGGCAACACGAGAAAUCUCUCCAGAUGGCUAAUUUCCCCUCUCAAGAGGCUCAAGGUGCCGCUUGGGCACUGGGCAGGGUGCCCCCUUUCCCAGGAAGCUGAAGGCUGGGAUCUGAUCCAUAUGGGCAUAUGGGCCCUGCAGACUAUGCAGAUAAAGAGGCUUUGCGCCAAUCACCUUCCUCCUGUAGACCUCACUAUCUGUAUAGAGGAAUGUGUAGGGCAUCUCAGCUACCACCGGCUCCCUCCCAGACUCACCCCUCCUAACAGGCAGCAGAACUAGGGCACAAUGCUAACACGAGAAUGGGAGCUGUUAUAACAUGGGAUGGAUGGGUUUGUGGGUGUGAGGGCACCUGAGAUCUGGAAUCUGGGAGAAAGAGGCUGGAGAAAUCAGCAGCAGUGAAGAGACCUAAGGGUUUCCCGGAAGUCCAGCUGGAGCGGGGACAUCAAAGGCGGCUGGAGUUAUUACUUCCCAUAAGCAUAGCACGUGACCCCGCACCCCGACCUGACAUCAGCAGCUCCAUUCACCUGCCCCACCUGCCAGCUUGUCCUCCCCUCUCCACUCUAAGAAGCCUCUCUGCUGCCCCAAAGUUGGCCUGAUCCAGCAGCAUCUGGGGUGGGGGGUAACAGUGGGAACGCCACAGAACCCCCUGAACGAAGCUGGAAGUCACAUGUAGGGGACUGGACAGGUGUCAUUGAUGCUUUCCUUACAUCUGUGCCCUUAGUUCUGGGGAGCUGCUGACCCCAGCUAGACAGCAUCUCUGCUCUGGACUCUUGCCUCCCUCCCCAUCCUUCCUCCCCCCCCCCCCCCGGCUCCUUUCUCAUCCCUUCCCUCUUUCUUUCCCAGAGUCUGUGCCUUGUCCAGCCAUGAGUCAUCUCAGAUCUGAUCUGAUUCUGCCCUUCGAGAUUCUGGGGUCAGUGCACAGCCAUCCUGCAGGCUGUGCCCUUUAGAGGCGUGGUCAGGGCAUUCAGGAUGGGAACAGAGCCUGUAGACUGGUGGUCUGGGACAUGGCUCCUUUGCUGAGAGAACAAGAAGUCCCUCUUUGAACACCUUUAUGUCAAGGCUGCAGGGCCAUUAAAACAAUCCAGGGCUCAGUCUUUCCGGGCAGAGGUUCUCAAAGUAGGGACCACUUUGGGACCUUCGGCUCAGCAUCACACUGGAUAUUGGCAGGCGCUUCAGUCUGGUGCCUGGUUUUUUGUUGGUUGGUUGGUUGGUUGGUUGGUUUUGAAAUGUCUUCAGAGAGCCUGUUCUCAACCGUUUUCAGCACCCGAUGCCUUCAACCAGAACUGAAGGUGGAAUCCAGGGACAUCAUAAAAAGCCUCCACUCACAUCGUUCCAGGCUUCAGCUUGGGUGGAUUCAUGAGAAAGGAAUCCAGGUAUUGGCAUUUGGAAAUGGGAGUUGCUGAAUGCCUAAGAAGUGUGAUUCUACAGCAAAACCCUGGGAAAGACAGAGAAAGAAAAAAAGCUAAAGGAAGAACUAGUUUUGAAGUAUGGCAAUCUGACAGCAAAAUACAAAGAGAAACAUAACAAGGACCUCCUACCCCACCCAAGAGACGGCAGAAGCUAACGUUUUACUGCAUUUGCAUCAGAUUCUUAAAACAAACAACAACAACAACAACAAAAAGACCUUGAACACCUGCUUCGGUGCCCUUUGUGCCCCUUUCUCUCUUCAAACACACAGCUGCUAUCCUGCAAUCAGUGGGUAUUUUUCUGACACAUGUGCUCUCCCCCAUAUUACUCAUAAAUUACACCUAGCAAUACUCUGAGUGCUUUUUAUUUUUACAUAAGUGAUGUCACAGUGACCCUAUCGUUUGAGAACUUACUGUGUUUUUUUUUUUUUUUAAAAUCCAGUAUUGUGUUUCCAAGCACACUCAUUUUAACUUCUGAAUAACUGGUCAGUACAAGAAAACCACAGUUCAUGCCCCCACGCCUCCGAUGGACAUUUCAGUUUGCUGCGGUCUGGAUACAGCUUGUUCCUUCCGAAACCCAUGUUGAAAUCAGAUUGCAAUUGUGUCAGUGUUCGGCAGGGGCCUCCAUCCUCAUGAAUGGCUUAAUCCAUUCACCGAUUAAUAGAUAGAAUGACUGCCUUGUAAAAGUGAGUUCUCACUUGGAGGUGUAAUACAUGUUUGUUAUUCCAGCUCUAGGCUCAGGCAGGAGGACCCUAAGUUUGAAGCCAGCCUUAGCAACUGUCUUAGUCACGAUUCUGUGGCUGUGAAGAGACUCCACGGCCAAAACAACUCUAAUAAGAGUUAAGCGAGGGCUGGCUUACAGCUUCAGAGGUUUUGUUCAUUAUCAUCAUGGCUGGGAGCAUGGUAGCAUGCACGAAGGCGUGGUGCUGGAGAAGUAGUUGAGAACUACAUCCUGAUCCACAGGGCAGAAAAAUAGAGUGAGAAUGGGCCUGGAACAGACUUUGAAACCCCAAGUUUUCCCCCACCCCAUCCUUGGUCCUCCACCCCCAGUGACACACUUCCUCCAAGGCCACACCUCUUAAUCCUUCUAAUCCUAUCAAAGAGCUCCACUCCCUGGUGACAAAGGAUACAAAUACAUGAGUCUAUGAGGGCCAUUCUUAUUUAAACCACCACAGCAAUUUAGCAAGAUCCACCUCAAAAUGAAUAAGAACAAUGGCUAGAAAUGUAGGUCAAUGGUCCUGGGUUUAAUCCCCAGUCCCACCAAACCAAACAAAGACAGAAACAAAGAUAAAUAUAUAGGUAAGCAUGAAAAGGGGGGGAUGGUGGUAGUGAGAUGCCUGGGCAGGUGAAAAUGCUUGUCGCCAAGCCCGACAGCCUGAUUGGAUCCCUGGAACUUACACGCUGGAAGAGAACCGGUUCCCUCAAUUGUCCUCUGACCAUCACAUGCAUGCAGUGGCAUGCAUGGCUGACUGCAUGGGCAUGCACACGGACACAUUAAACACACACUAAACCAAAAACGAGAAAGCCACAAUAACAACAAAAAAAGCUGUGAGCUCCCCGAUGAGCUUGCUCUUCCUUACCCUGAGAUGUGCUCUGCCGUGCUUUGAUGUAGCAGGAAGUCCCUGUUCUGUACAGUCCAGAGAAUGAGCUACAACGACCAGGUUUUAUAUAGAGAGAAAGCAAAAGUUAAAAAGAAAAAGAUACCAAGUACUAUAGAGAUAGAAAGAGCAGCUAAACAUCUUCAGGUCAGUUGUUUUCAUUAUCCAGCUGGAGUAGCCUAAUUGACGAGCAAACAAAGACAGCAUCACCAAACUGGGGCUUACAAUACCCAGCAAAAAUGGCCUGGGGAAGUUGAGGCAGUCAGCUGCAGUUCCUGACUGAGCUUCCUUUCCAUGGAUGAGUUUCUUGAUACUUGCAAAUCCUUUACCUCCCAGCUGUUCUCAAGGACAUGAUGCUUUUGCUAUUCUUGGCCUGCUGGCUGUUUCUGCCUCUCUCUGUUACAGAACCAGGGGGCCAGGCUGACCCAGGAUAAGGAGUUUUGGAGGAGACAAGGGAAGGCCUCAUUGUUUCCAGAGUCCACCUUCAGGAAACUUAACAGAAUGUGACAAUUUACCAAUACAAUGUGUGUUUCAGACCCUUACCAGAGGACCAUCGGGUGUCAGAAACAUGCCUUUGUACAUUCCAGCUUCCAGAAUUGUAAGCUAAAUAAACCUGCAUUCUUCAUA
Molecule: long non-coding RNA, 7956 nt
Organism: Peromyscus californicus insignis
Lineage: Eukaryota; Metazoa; Chordata; Mammalia; Rodentia; Cricetidae
Exons: 4
Source: RefSeq, a predicted model, not a curated record